This 66-nucleotide microRNA precursor is filed under the name Podarcis lilfordi (Lilford's wall lizard). The record is from RNAcentral. Lineage: Eukaryota; Metazoa; Chordata; Lepidosauria; Squamata; Lacertidae.
AGUGUGUGUGAGCGUGUGCGUGUGCAUGCGCAUGCGCACACACACACACACACACACACACACACA